UACGGAAGGCAGCAGUGGGGAAUAUUGCACAAUGGGCGCAAGCCUGAUGCAGCCAUGCCGCGUGUAUGAAAAAGGCCUUCGGGUUGUAAAGUACUUUCAGUCGUGAGGAAGGUGUUAAGGUUAAUAACCUUAGCAAUUGACGUUAGCGACAGAAGAAGCACCGGCUAACUCCGUGCCAGCAGCCGCGGUAAUACGGAGGGUGCGAGCGUUAAUCGGAAUUACUGGGCGUAAAGGGCACGCAGGCGGUUAAUUAAGUUGGAUGUGAAAUCCCCGGGCUUAACCUGGGAAUGGCAUUCAAGCUGGUUAGCUAGAGUCUUGUAGAGGGGGUAGAAUUCCAUGUGUAGCGGUGAAAUGCGUAGAGAUGUGGAGGAAUACCGGUGGCGAAGGCGGCCCCUGGACAAAGGCUGACGCUCAUGUGCGAAAGCGUGGGGAGCAAACG
RNAcentral lists this ribosomal RNA (439 nucleotides) under uncultured bacterium. RNAcentral's name for it is "bacterial SSU rRNA". It matches the Rfam family "Bacterial small subunit ribosomal RNA", at positions 340 to 774 of the family's 1533-position model. The record is from RNAcentral.